AUGGUAGACAGAACCUACUACACCGAUGGCUCUGAGUUAACUUAUAAGGAGAAAACUCAUCUGGUCGGAUUUUGUACUGAUAUUGAGAAUUACAAUAUCUACAAUCAAACUCCUCAUCAUUAUGGUCCUCCAUACGUGCCACUAGUGCAUGUGUUGAACUACGGUAACUACUAUGGAGAUACCCUGAUAAUCCCGGAGGAUUGUAUGCCUCAUUUGAUGUAUCAGAAUGGUAGGCUUGAUGUUUUGAAUAUACAACCAGGUCAUCCUACGAAUCUCAACUGUCCAUACCGGAUUUCUAAAAGAAGUGGAGACAUGCAAAUCAAAGAAUGA
This 330-nucleotide ribosomal RNA is filed under the name Triticum aestivum (bread wheat). Its description in RNAcentral is "partial small subunit ribosomal RNA". The record is from RNAcentral. Lineage: Eukaryota; Viridiplantae; Streptophyta; Magnoliopsida; Poales; Poaceae.